AUUGAACGCUGGCGGCAGGCCUAACACAUGCAAGUCGAACGGUAACAGGAAGCAGCUUGCUGCUUCGCUGACGAGUGGCGGACGGGUGAGUAAUGUCUGGGAAGCUGCCUGAUGGAGGGGGAUAACUACUGGAAACGGUAGCUAAUACCGCAUAAUGUCGCAAGACCAAAGAGGGGGACCUUCGGGCCUCUUGCCAUCGGAUGUGCCCAGAUGGGAUUAGCUUGUUGGUGGGGUAACGGCUCACCAAGGCGACGAUCCCUAGCUGGUCUGAGAGGAUGACCAGCCACACUGGAACUGAGACACGGUCCAGACUCCCACGGGAGGCAGCAGUGGGGAAUAUUGCACAAUGGGCGCAAGCCUGAUGCAGCCAUGCCGCGUGUAUGAAGAAGGCCUUCGGGUUGUAAAGUACUUUCAGCGGGGAGGAAGGGAGUAAAGUUAAUACCUUUGCUCAUUGACGUUACCCGCAGAAGAAGCACCGGCUAACUCCGUG
This 490-nucleotide ribosomal RNA is filed under the name uncultured bacterium. Its description in RNAcentral is "partial 16S ribosomal RNA". It matches the Rfam family "Bacterial small subunit ribosomal RNA", at positions 30 to 507 of the family's 1533-position model. The record is from RNAcentral.